AAGGUUCCUAACAUUCUUAUUAAAAUGAUAUGUUUUAAGAGAUAUAUCCUUAGAUAGUUUAUUUCAAUGAGAAUUAAGAUGUGAGAGAGGCCAUGAAAGUGUAAUACUUUUCUUGAGUCUCUCAGAAGUAAGAGUGAAGCAAGUUGUGUCUUCAGGGUAUUGGGGGUGGUCUGCAUUUUCUUUCUUCAUUUUCAAGUAAAUUUUGAGAAUAUGAGUCUAUUUUUAGACAGUUUAAACCAAGUUGGUUUGCUUUUCUCUGAAUUUUUCUGCAUAUGCACAUAAGUAGCUUAUUAGUUUUCUUGAUUCUGUAAUGGAAGUAACACUCUUAAAAGCAGAUAGCAUUAGAGGGCAUAGGUUUAAACACCUGGGUCCUCUCUGUUCUCUUAGAAAGUGAGGUCAUAUAACAAAUGGUGAAAAUGACAGCAGUAAUGUUAUCUGAUAUUUAUUCAGCAUUUUCAGUGUAUCACGAACCAUGAAAAUUAUUUUUAUCUCAUUGUAUCUACUCUUCACAACAAUCUUAAAAGGAAGAACUAUUAGCUAAGGUAGAGAAAGUCACAAGGAUUUGUCCAAGGUCACAGAGCUAAUAUACUGUUCAGCCACGACUUGAUUCCAGUCUGGCUCCAGUUCCCAUACUCUUGACUAUAUCUACAAACAAACAUUUAAUUCAAGUUAUUUAAAAUCUGUCUUUUCCCCUCUAUACAGAGAAACAUGCAUGGACAUACACAGAGACCUUGUAUAGUUUACAGAAAUGUAUAAGUACAAAUGAAAGGAAGACUCCAAUUUAUUAAUGGAUUAUAUGCAUAUACAAAUCAAUUACUUUAACCUUAUCUUUUCCUCUAAGCAUGUAGGGUACCAGCCAGAUAGCAAAAGCUUAUUUAGUAUGUGUUAUACCUAAAAUAUAGCACUCUUAAUACUGUGCUAAUGAUGUUAUAGAUCUUGCCCAUCAUUUAUCUCAUAGUACUGUAAGAGCUUCAGAAAUUCAAAUGUCCUCCAUCAAUUUGGGUGGAUUGGGGUUUCCCUUCCUCUUUCACCACUAGCCCUUGCCUUUAUGUGCUGGAAAAUGGGAGUGGAGACUUUCUGAGCUAUAGAUCAUGGAUGAUAAAUUGGGGCAGAGGCUCCCGGAAAGUGUGAGUUAAAACAGUUUAAAGUCCCAAUCUUUGGAGACAGACAGAUAAGCAUGGUCUUUCUGACAAAUGAACAUUCAAGUAUUUGUUACCCCUAUUUAUAGCCUUCUUAAUCUUUUUAGUCCCAUUUCAUGAUAAAUGGUAACAGCAAUAAUAUUUAUCUCAUAAAACUGUUAUGAAGAUUAAGUUUGGAUUAUGUAUAUUAAGAGCAUUACAUAUUAAUAGAACAUUGAGCAGUUAAUUUCACUAUGGGAAAGAGCUGGGAGGCAGGACUCCUUUCUGGAAUGCACUCCUGGGGAUGUUUUACAUUUCAGAAUGGUCUUCAAUCUUAUAAUUCUUUAUUUUCUCCAAGACAUGAGGGUUAGUUGAAAAACAUAAAUAUAAAAACAAAUUAUACUAAUAUGAAAGUUUAACUCAGAAAUCUGAAAAGUAACAUUUGUUAGUAACUUAACUCUAUUUGAGGGGCUGGAGAAUGAAUAUGCCUAGAGACGUCCAUUAAGCUAACCUAUUAAUAGGUGGAUAACUAGCUGGGAGAAAUGUGCCCUGAAGAUGAUAUAAUGAGCUGUUUUACCAUUUUAUCUUAUGGCAAAAUUACUUCUGACAUACUUAUUUAUAGAUUAUAAAAAAAAAUUGAAGAACCCAUUAAAGUAUUUAAAAUAGUGCUCGAAUUACAUAGAGUGCUGAGAAAGUUUUUUCCUGUCAUCUUUGAAUCAUGGGUAAACUCAAAAUUAAGAAUGGGAAGGACCAAGGUUUCCACCAAUGAGAUCUGCAUGUUUGUGGGGGAUGGUCCAAAAGAGUCAUUUGUAAAGAUUGCUAUACUCUUUGCUAGUUAACGAGCUCUUGAUAUUCUCUUUUGCAUAAUCUGAGCAGAAAAAAAGAGAGAAAGGAAAGAGGGUGAGUCAAAAAUAGCUGUGGCAUAGCAUGUAUUCUCAAGGUUCUGUGUAAUGAGAUGGUGGAAUUCCCAUGGACUAAAUGGAUACUUAAGGAGGAAGGUGGGCUUGGAAUGCCUUGCUAGAUUCCAUCCAAGAAAUCUUUCCACUGGGAGAUGAUAGCUCAGCAGUAAGAGGCUGUAGUGCUUUCUGCUGGUGGAGGGAGGAAGAAGGUUGUAAACUAAGGAAGAAGAUAAGCCAGGGCUGGUUCUCCUAAAUUAAGAAACUAUUCAAGAUACCACUAGAAACAAUUUACGGGCCUGACAAGGAACUACUCAGAGAAUAUAGCUGGCUCACCAAAAAAACCAGAAACACUAAAUAAGGAAAGAGUUCCAAUUGUGGCCUUCCUCCCUGCCUCAGAAUAUUUGAAGAGCUAGGUAGAACUUUGACAGGUGUUUAGAAGUUUUUGAUCUGGAUAGGUUACUCAUUUUAAUAAUUAGGGCUGAUCAAAAAGUACUGCUUUCUGGCCUGCCACUUUUAAGGAACAGAAAAGAGGUAUUCACAUAGCAGAGUUCAUGACAAAGUCUGAAAUAAAAAUCAUUUCAUAUUCAGUCAUCCCUCAGUAUCUAUGGAGGAUUGUGCUGCCUCCCUCCCCACAAAUACCAAAAUCUGCAGAUUUUCCAGUACCUUAUAUAAAAUACUCCAGUACAGUUGGCUCUGCCUAUCCACAGAUUGGGCAUCCAUAGAUGGAGACGCUAGAUGAUAACCAACUGAACUAAAAUUUCACAAUUAAAUUGUCUAAAAGAGUGUGGGGAUUAAAAGUAAGCUAUGCUAAUUUGUGUUAUUGAUGAAGAAAGAAAAGAGUUCUUUGCUAUUUUUUCCUUACUUAGCACACAGUGAAUGCACAAUGUUCAGUCCUGGGCAUCAUGUUUUAAAAGAAAUGUAGAAUGCUGAAAUAUAGAAAUCCUGAUAGAAAGAAUGAUGACUAAUCUGCAACUCUUUAUCUUCAAGAAGAUAAAGUUAAAAAUGUUUUCAGUUAUUUAAAAAGGAUAAUUACUUGAAAGAGAUCAUCUAUUUGCCUCUUUGUUUCUGAAGCCAUAAAUUAAACCAGUAAUGAGGUGUUAUAUACAAAUAAAUUGACUUGAUAUAUGGAAGAAAUUUAUUGAAAUUAAUAAAUUAAUUUGCAAAAUCUGUGACUUCAAUGCAUGUGUACUGUAGGAAAAUUGGAAAAUACAAAAUAAUAAAAAGAGGUAAAUUAAAAUUCAUAAGCCCAGAAUUCUGUCCAGAGUGAGGACAGAAAUGUAUGAUAUGUAUUCAUUCUAGGUUAGAAUAAAUUCUCCCACUGCAAUGGGGAUACCCAUGUUUGAGAUGAAAGAAAAGGCUAAUUUGUAGGUAGUUGGUUAUAUGUAUGAGAUAUCAAGGGUUUCUAUAAUCACUAGGAAGUUUGACAACGUAAACUUUAGCUUUUUUUGGAAUCCUAAAGCCUGUGAUUAUAAAAUGUAAAACUGUGUCUAAUUUUUUUGCAUGCUUUAAAUCCAUAUUUUGGCAUGGCUAGUUGACAUAGUUUUGGAAUGAAACAUUCAUGAAACAGUCACACCUUUAGAAAUAUCAUGUGAAUUAAUUUCAUAACAAUACUCUUUAAGGUGCCUAUCAAAAUAUUCAGUUUACCAAUUGGUUGUCAUAUAAUGUACUACUUAAUAUUCAGAUGAUAUGAGGUAAAACUCUUGAAUUCAAGUGUUUCUUGGGUGUUUAAAGAUUUUAGAUAAAGCUAGAAAACUUCAGCUAAAAUAUAUAGGGAGGCCUCUGAUGAGGAACUAGGGAAACGCAAUUGCCUUACAAAUCAAAAUGGAGUUAUACACAAGGUUGCCAGAUAAAAUGCAGGGUGCCAAAUUAAAUUUGAAUCAGAUAAGCAAGGCAUAAGUCUUUUCUAAAUAUGUCCCAAAUGUUUCGUGGGACAUACUUAUACUAAAGACCUAUUCAAAGAUUAUCUCAAAUGCAAAUUUAAGUUUAUCUGUGUUUUCAUAUUUUAAAUCUAGAAACCCUCCUUGUCUUUGAAAAUAGCAAAAAAGAUUAUCAAUAUUGUCUCAUGUGUCACCUUCUAUAAAUUAUGGUCAGAAGAAUACAUAACAACAUCAUUGAGAAUGUACAAAAAAUUUAGGUCAAUGUUUCUAUAAAUGUAAAGAAAAAUAGAUAAUUUUUAUAAUCCAGUUUUUGACUGCAUUGAAUAUCGUCAGUGACCUUUUUGAUUUAUUCAAUGUACAAAUGUUUUGUUUGAUUUUCUAUAGACUUUAACAUUGAUUUUAAAUGUAAUACAACAAAAAAGAUAGAAUAACCAUUUUUCUCAGCUUACUGGAAUGCAGGAUGGCCUGCUUCUCCUCAUUUUUGAAAGAAAAUUCAUUUAGGCUUUAAUUUAUUUUGAAUUACUAGCCAUUUUCCAAGACCUAACUUCAUCUAAAUUGAGAACAAGCACAUUUCAAUGUUACCCAAUAAUGGGAAAAAGUGGCAUCUCUCUCACUAAGAUUUGCUCCUUUUGGGUCUCACAGAAGACGCUUUCCUUUGAUUUGUAAUAGAACAUAUGGUAAACCUUCUGGUUUAUUUUUGUUAUCCCCUGGACAGCUUUUCCCUCUCAUGUUCACAUAGCAGAUGUCAUACAGCAUUUGUCCAUAUGGGGGCAAAAUCCUGCCUUCUGCCCCAAAAUACAUUGCAUUCAAACUCCCAUCUUAAUCCCGAUUACUUCCAGAAAUCAAGGUAUUCCAAUAGGUGUAUCCUCUUGGACUUGCAGCACAUAAAUUUUAAUCAAUUCAGAAAACUUAAUAUAUCAUUUUCCUAGGGCUGCCUAACAAAGUAACCAUAGUAUGAAUGGCUUAAACAACAGAAAUUUAUUUUCUUACAGUUCUGGAAAUUGGAAGUCUGAGGUCAGACUGUUGGCAGGGCUGGUUCUUUUUGAGGGCUAUGAGGCAAGGUUCUGUUCCUUGGCUUGUGUAUGGCCAUCUUCUCCCUGAGUUUUCAUAUAUUGUCCUUCUGUACAUGCCGGUGUCCAGCUUUCCUCUUCUUAUGGGAAUAUUGGUUGUUUUCAGUAAGAAUGCACCCUAAUGACCUAAUUUUAACUUAAAAUAAGACCUUUAAAGGCCUUAUCUCAAAACACAAUUAUAUUCUGAGAUAGUAGGGGUUAGGAUUUUAACAUGUGAAUUUUAUGGGGAUACCAUUCAGCCCAUAACAUCUGAUAACUUCAAAACAUUUAUAAAAGAACUUUAAAGCAAUGAAGCAAGGGGAAGGGUCGCAGGCUAAAGCCUAAAAAGUGGUCAAAGAAGCAGGCAGAAUGGCUUAGAUAAACAAGGGCAUGGAGAGAACCAUAAUAUUUGGUUGGUAUCAGAGUGACAAAAGCAAUAUUCCUUGUUCUCUUUCCUUUUCUUGUGAAUUAUUCUCCAUAUUAAAAUCUAGCCCUUCUAGGACAUCUGUCCCCUGAACUACACCUCCUGAUUCUCCUGCUAAUAUCUUCAUCCUGCUUCUGCUGCCUCCUCAAUUUUGAGAAACAUGCAUUUAUCAAAUUGUAUUUUAGACCUUGCAAACCUAUUUGAGAUGCUUCUAGGUAUCUUCUAAGAAUGCAGUGGUCUCACAGUAUCAUCUGUCCCCUAAUGAAGGAAGUAUGGAUUCCAUGUUGUCAUUUUUGAGCUAGUGAAAAUUAAAGCCAGUUUAUCUCUUGAAGAAUUCAUAGAACAUAGCAUAAUAUUUAAAGAUUUAUAAAAUCUAACUUUUCCUUCUAUUGUAAUUUGUACAUCUAUCUUCAUGUGAAAAAAUUUCCAUGGUCUUUAUAUAAUACCACUAUUUCCAUUACAAUUAAUAGAUUUUCUUUUAUUGGCUUUCAAGAAUAUAUAUUCACUUUGGGAAAGAAGAUGUAUAUUGAAAGUAAAAAGGUAAGGACCGCAUUGUUAGGAACUGAAGAAUAUUCCCUGUUGUUUUUGUAUCUGUAGCAUUUUAAGGAGAAAAUGAAAUUUUGGAUUAGUUGCUGAUAAGCAUAAUAAUAAGAAAUAGCUAUUAGCAAAUUAAUUAAUGUCUAGUGUCCUAUUUGUGUUUUACACGAAGAAUCAUUAUUGGCUUAGCUUAAAACUUGGUCUUUGAUGAGAGUUUUUUACAUGAAAUAUUGAGAGUGUUGCUUGUGAAAUUAUACUGGCCCAUGAAAUUUAAGUAGAGAAUCAUUACCAGUAGGUAAAAGUAAUUAGAAAAGACCAGGAAUCCUGUAGUUUAAGCAAUAAUAAUCCAUGCAGUUAAUCACUCCAUUAUUAAUUUUUAGAGAAAGAGAGUUGAGCUCUUUCUGCUAAAUUAAAGAGGAGGUAAUGGGGGCCGGAAUACAAGUUAAGGAAAAUAAAACAAGAAUCUCAAAAGAGGGAAUACUAAAGAAUCAGAAUCAGGAGUUGCCAUCAUGGUGCAGCAGAAAUGAAUCCAACUAGGAACCAUGAGGUUGCGGGUUUGAUCCCUGGCCUUGCUCAGUGAGUCAAGAAUCCAGCCUUGCCAUGAACUGUGGUGUAGGCUCAGAUGUGGCAUUGGAUCUGGUAUUGCUGUGGCUCUGG
This 6561-nucleotide long non-coding RNA is filed under the name Sus scrofa (pig). RNAcentral's name for it is "lncRNA (ENSSSCG00000051842.1)". Lineage: Eukaryota; Metazoa; Chordata; Mammalia; Artiodactyla; Suidae. The record is from RNAcentral.